This 75-nucleotide transfer RNA is filed under the name Candidatus Altimarinota bacterium. RNAcentral describes it as "tRNA-Val". It matches the Rfam family "tRNA". Rfam says of the family: Transfer RNA (tRNA) molecules are approximately 80 nucleotides in length. Lineage: Bacteria; Candidatus Altimarinota. RNAcentral also lists the same sequence under 1 other name. The record is from RNAcentral.
GCGUGAUUAGCUCAGGGGUAGAGCAUCUCAUUGACGUUGAGGAGGUCGGGGGUUCAAAUCCCUCAUCACGCACCA